AUGGCUCCGGGCUCCACGGCGCGGCAGGUGUGGGACUCCAUCGCCAACCUCUUCCACGACAACAAGAAAAGCCGCGCCCUCGCCCUCGACGCCGAGUUCCGCAACACACCGCAAGGAGACAUGUCCAUCCAUGACUACUGCGCGAAGCUCAAGUCUCUCUCCGACGCUCUCGGCGAUGUCGGCAUAACCAUCUCUGAUGAGACGCUCGUCCUAACGGUGCUCCGCGGCCUCAACGAGCAAUUCAGCCACCUGCGGUCCUUCCUUCCGUUUCAGGUGCCGUUUCCAUCUUUCCUCCAGACGCGCUCGGCCCUCGUUCUUGAAGAAGCACAGAAGAAGACGGAUGCAAAGAACGCUGCUGCUACUGCGCUCUGGGCCAGCGGCAACAGUAUAUUGCCAAGCGCGGGCGGCGAACGCGCUCCAUUGUCCGGGGGCGGACACAGCUACGGUGCUCAGCGUCCUGUCGGUCCCUCUUCCAGCUCGUCCAACAGCGGCGGCCGCGGCACCUUCAGUAACAAUCGCAGCCGCGGCCGCGGCGGCCGAGGACGGGGCCGCUCCGAGCCCUGGAUGUACAAUCCUUGGACUGGCCUUCCAACGCGUGCACAGCUUUAUCAACACCCUGCUCCAGCGCCGUGGCAAUCACAGCCAUGGCGUGCUCCUGGCGUCCUUGGUCCACGACCUGCGGCUGCUUCCCAGCAGGCGUACGCAGCAUACGGCCCAGCUCCGACAACUCCCACCUACAACGGGCAUCAGCAACAACUCGACCCAGCACUUCUGAACGCACUCAACAACAUGCAUCUUCCCGGAAACCAGGAGUGGUACAUGGACACAGGAGCUUCCUCCCACAUGGCAUCUAAUCACGGUACUAUCUCCUCUCUAAAGCCUUCCACUCAAACUGUCACAGUAGGUAAUGGACAAACCGUUCCUGCUACUCAUGUUGGUCAAUCUACACUUCCAUCUUCAGCCCAAUCCCUCUCUCUUCGUAAUAUUCUUGUCGUUCCUCACAUUAUUAAAAAUCUUAUCUCUGUUCGCCAACUCACUACUGACAAUUUUUGUUCCGUUGAAUUUGAUCCUUUCGGAUUCUCGGUGAAGGCGUUUCCUUCCAGGGCCGUGAUCCUUCGCUGCAAUAGUCCCGGGCCCCUGUAUCCUGUCUACCGUCCCCGACAAGAUGAAGCUCUCAUCACAACCACUUCGUCAUCACUCUGGCAUCGCCGCCUCGGCCAUCCUGGUCGUCACACCAUGUAA
This 1242-nucleotide ribosomal RNA is filed under the name Triticum aestivum (bread wheat). Its description in RNAcentral is "partial small subunit ribosomal RNA". Lineage: Eukaryota; Viridiplantae; Streptophyta; Magnoliopsida; Poales; Poaceae. The record is from RNAcentral.